CUAAAAAUUACAAAAGAAAAAAAGAAAAGAAAAAAAACAACAUCCCCCAAGUAAAUCACACGCCCUGAUGAGAUCAUUUAGCGACUUUUAGGACAGCCAAUAGCUACUUUCCUUACCGAUGAGUUGGUAACACUGCAGGAAGUUGACCGCUGUCAACAGUAGCUAGCAGCUAGCGAUUACAGCGGUUACACACCCCUAAACGUCAACAUGGCUGAGGGGAAACGAGCCAAGACCUACCAUUUUCACCCUGAGUGGGAGCAAGAUUAUUUUUUUGUUUAUUCUCAUUCAAAGCCUGUUUGUUUGAUUUGCAAUGCAACGGUGGCAUUGGCAAAGAAAGGGAAUCUGGAGCGGCAUUUCAAAAUGGUACACAGGAGCUAUGAGAGGGAUUUCCCUGCAAAAACACUUUUACGUGCCACAAAAGUGCGGGAUUUGAAAGCACAGCUUGCAGCACGGCAGUCAAUCUUCACCAAACCGAAGACCCAGAGUAAGGCUGCAACUAUUGCUUCCUGUUCUGGAAACUACUGGUGGCAGAGAAGUAUCCCAAUCUCAGAAGAUGUGCUUUGAACCUGACAGCUCUUUUUGGAUCAACUUAUUUGUGCGAGUCUGCUUUCUCGCACAUGAACAUCAUCAAGUCCAAGAACAGAUCCACAAUGACUGAUGGUCACCUUGCAGCCUGCCUACGCCUUGCAACCAGCUCCUACACUCCUAACUAUGAAAAGCUAGCCUCCUCCUCCCAGUGCCAGGUCUCCCACUAAGGUUGCCGACCCAAGGCUCUUGGAACGUAUGGUUGAAAGCAGUCUGGGCAAUACUUAGAGAUUUGGGACUGAGCAGAACGAAGGGGACGCACAGGAACUGCAAAUACAUUACAUGAUAAGCAGAUUUUGUGAGCAGCUUGUAAGUAUUCACAUGAGAAGAAUAUACACUUGCUGGUUUGGCAUGUAAAAUAAAUGUAGGUUUACUGCUGUACUAACAACUGUGACUCACCAGACUGACGAAUACAAGCGCAAGCUGGAUGACAUCAGUGUAGGCCACUGAAUACAGACCUCCUAACAAAGUGUAGAUAAUGGCCACCGCUGACGAGAUCCAAACAGAAUAGGAAUAGGGCAAGUCCAGUAUCACGCUCAUAGUUAUUCCUGGUAGAUAGAAGUAUUUCAGCUGCUUGAAUAGCUUGCACAGAGCUGAUAUUCUUUCAAUUAAUAAGAAUGUGUUUUGUUUACCUAAACUAAACAGAGUGCAGGACACCCAUAGCAUAUCACCCAGUAGAGAUGGCAGUGCCAGACAACUACAUAGUAUGUGGCCAUACUUUUGCUGGAGUGGGUCCAUCAUGGUGACAUACAUCUUGUCCCUCAUUGGCUUGGCAAAGAAAAGACCACCUUGUAAACAAUAUGACAUAUUACUCAUCAUUUUUUGUUUAGUGUGGCAAUACUAUUUUUCAUUUUGGGUUGCAUAGAUACAGUAUAUCUACACAAAGGCACUACUGAGAUCAGCAUGGCUUACUUCAACUGUAAUGUUACCUAAAAUGAAGUUGAAGGAGUAUUGUAAAGGCAUAAGUGCCCAUACCAGCCCCCUGUUAGGUGUGUACACUGCCUCAGCCAGGCCCAGGAUAAACCCACCUCCAACCCAUGUAGCUGUAGAAGAACGACACACACACACACACACACACACACACACACACACACACACACACACACACACACACACACACACACACA
This is a long non-coding RNA of Sphaeramia orbicularis (orbiculate cardinalfish), 1712 nucleotides long. RefSeq lists it as uncharacterized. NCBI's taxonomy places the organism in Eukaryota, Metazoa, Chordata, Actinopteri, Kurtiformes, Apogonidae. The record is from RefSeq and is a predicted model, not a curated record. The transcript is spliced from 2 exons.